GACGAACGCUGGCGGCGUGCCUAAUACAUGCAAGUCGAACGAACCGCGACUAAGUGCUUGCACUAAGUCAAGGUGAGUGGCGAACGGGUGAGUAACACGUGGGUAACCUACCUCAUAGUGGGGGAUAACAGUCGGAAACGACUGCUAAUACCGCAUAGGACAUAGGAUCACAUGAUCCAGUGAUGAAAGGUGGCGCAAGCUAUCGCUAAGAGAUGGACCCGCGGUGCAUUAGCUAGUUGGUAGGGUAAAGGCCUACCAAGGCGAUGAUGCAUAGCCGACCUGAGAGGGUGAUCGGCCACAUUGGGACUGAGACACGGCCCAAACUCCUACGGGAGGCAGCAGUAGGGAAUCUUCCGCAAUGGGCGCAAGUCUGACGGAGCAACGCCGCGUGAGUGAAGAAGGUCUUCGGAUCGUAAAGCUCUGUUGUUAGAGAAGAACAGCGCAUAGAGUAACUGCUAUGCGUGUGACGGUAUCUAAACAGAAAGCCACGGCUAACUACGUG
RNAcentral lists this ribosomal RNA (502 nucleotides) under uncultured bacterium. RNAcentral describes it as "partial 16S ribosomal RNA". It matches the Rfam family "Bacterial small subunit ribosomal RNA", at positions 28 to 507 of the family's 1533-position model. The record is from RNAcentral.